Molecule: microRNA precursor, 56 nt
Filed under: Monodelphis domestica (gray short-tailed opossum)
Lineage: Eukaryota; Metazoa; Chordata; Mammalia; Didelphimorphia; Didelphidae
Description: Monodelphis domestica miR-7298 stem-loop (ENSMODG00000048475.1)
Source: RNAcentral
UCAAGUUAAGCUUCAAGCCAGUGUUUACACUCACCUGGCUUGAAGCUUAACAUGGG